GUGUGUAGUGUGUGUCUAUCUGCAUAUGUGUGUAUGUGUGUGUAGCUUGUGUUUGUCUACUAUUUGUGAAAAAUAACAUCAGAAUGUACACUGGUUCACAGAAGAAGAUAGCUGGGAAGAGGGUCCCCCGCAUGCCUGGCAGCCUGUGGACAGAGGAUGGAGAACGCGGAGCCUCCUUUGUGCCUGGGCCUCUCAUGCGCCCUGCCCGGGGAGCGGGUGCUCCAAGCCUGAGGCCCUGCCCUCUCCCUGCCUGCCUGCUCUGUGGCUGCUGUGGGGCACAGUCCUGAGGCCGAGGGAAGGCGCUGGCUGCUCCGCGCCCGCUCAUGGCGUCCCCUGCCUUCCCUGGCCCCUCACCUGCGGUCCCACCUCCCGCCCUCGGCCUCAGGGCGGGGCGCGACUGGGGCCCAUGGAGCGUCUGCCGCCCAGGACCGAGCUGGACACUUCUGCCUGCCCCAGACCGGGGAGUCGCUCCCAAAUCGGAGCUCCGCCUCUGUGCCUCCUCCGGAACGUGCGUGUCCGUGCCUCCCGUGCCCCGCCGGAGUCUCAGGCACUCCCUCCAAGACAGACUUCUCUGUGGAAGCAGCAUAUUGGAGGCCUGCUAGGACAGUUCACAGGAAUGGCUGUGGAGGGCUGCAGGCAUGUCUCUAAUCAGAACCUGCUUGUCUUUUUGAUUGACAGCUGCACUUUCUCCACCAAGAAGUGGAUACUGUGCAAGUUAUGGUCAUAGUGAAGGUGGGGGACAUGGUAAGUCCUUAUUGUGCAGACAGUCAUUUCCUGUUUUCAAUCCCACCUGUAAAUGGAAUCUCCACUGGGGAGAUACCCAGAUUCUGGGGCAGUCCCAGUAAGGAUCUGCUUCUGGGAGUGGGGGAAUCCAGCAUGAACACCCAGAAAUAUACUACAGCAGGGAGAUCAGCACUGGUCCUUAAGCUAAGAAAAGGGGUAGCCACACACUGUCACUCAGAGAUGUGUGCUGAAC
Molecule: long non-coding RNA, 976 nt
Organism: Pan paniscus (pygmy chimpanzee)
Lineage: Eukaryota; Metazoa; Chordata; Mammalia; Primates; Hominidae
Source: Ensembl